Molecule: long non-coding RNA, 1380 nt
Filed under: Oryzias javanicus (javanese ricefish)
Lineage: Eukaryota; Metazoa; Chordata; Actinopteri; Beloniformes; Adrianichthyidae
Description: lncRNA (ENSOJAG00000002913.1)
Source: RNAcentral
AUGAACCUGGAGGUCCUCUGGAUCGUUCCUCGUGGAUCGUCCCUCUGGCAUCGUCCCUCGGGGAUCAUCUCUCGGGGAUCGUCCCUCAGGGAUCGUUCCUCUGGGAUCGUCCGUCGUGGAUCGUCCCUCGUGGAUCGUCCCUCUGGGAUCGUCCCUCAGGGAUCGUUCCUCUGGGAUCGUUCCUCGGGGAUCGUUCCUCAGAGAGCUUCCUCUUGGAUCGUUCCUCUGGGAUCGUUCCUCAGAGAACUUCCUCAGGGAUCGUCCCUCUGGGAUCACUCCUCGGGGAUGGUUGCUCAGAGAACUUCCUCAGGGAUCGUUCCUCUGGGAUUGUUCCUCGGGAUCGUUCCUCAGAGAACUUCCUCUGGGAUCGUCCCUCUGGGAUCGUUCCUCUGGGAUCGUUCCUCUGGGAUCGUCCCUCUGGGAUCGUCCCUCUGGGAUCGUCCCUCUGGGAUCGUCCCUCUGGGAUCGUCCCUCUGGGAUCGUCCCUCUGGGAUCGAUCCUCUGGGAUCGUUCCUCAGAGAACUUCCUCUUGGAUCGUUCCUCUGGGAUCGUUCCUCAGAGAACUUCCUCAGGGAUCGUCCCUCUGGGAUCGUUCCUCUGGGAUUGUUCCUCAGGGAUCGUUCCUCAGAGAACUUCCUCUGGGAUCGUCCCUCUGGGAUCGUCCCUCUGGGAUCGUCCCUCUGGGAUCGUUCCUCUGGGAUCGUUCCUCUGGGAUCGUCCCUCUGGGAUCGUCCCUCUGGGAUCGUCCCUCUGGGAUCGAUCCUCUGGGAUCGUUCCUCAGAGAACUUCCUCUUGGAUCGUUCCUCUGGGAUCGUUCCUCAGAGAACUUCCUCAGGGAUCGUCCCUCUGGGAUCACUCCUCAGGGAUGGUUGCUCAGAGAACUUCCUCAGGGAUCGUUCCUCUGGGAUCGUUCCUCUGGGAUUGUUCCUCGGGGAUCGUUCCUCAGAGAACUUCCUCUGGGAUUGUCCCUCUGGGAUCGUUCCUCUGGGAUCGUUCCUCUGGAUCGUUCCUCUGGGAUCGUCCCUCUGGGAUCGUCCUCUGGGAUCGUCCCUCUGGGAUUGUUCCUCUGGGAUUGUUCCUCGGGGAUCGUUCCUCAGAGAACUUCCUCUGGGAUCGUCCCUCUGGGAUCGUCCCUCUGGGAUCGUUCCUCUGGGAUCGUUCCUCGGGGAUCGUUCCUCAGAGAACUUCCUCAGGGAUCGUCCCUCUGGGAUCGUUCCACUGGGAUCGUCUCUCUGGGAUCGUUCCUCAGGAAUGUUCCUCAGAGAACUUCCUCAGGCAUCGUCCCUCUGGGAUCGUUCCUCUGGGAUCGUUCCUGUGAUCGGUCGUGUUCCAAAGCUUUUCCAAACAGAAAUGUCUGAUCUUUUCUUCUCCUCAUCCUGA